Molecule: long non-coding RNA, 2380 nt
Organism: Perca fluviatilis (European perch)
Lineage: Eukaryota; Metazoa; Chordata; Actinopteri; Perciformes; Percidae
Exons: 2
Source: RefSeq, a predicted model, not a curated record
AUGAAAAUACAGUACAAGAAAAAGUGGGCUACAAUAAUGUGGUUGCCACGGGGGCAACCAGGGGUGAUGAUUAGGUUGCCACUUGUCACAAUUUGGUUGCCAUGGGCAAACCUUUAUUAUUUAAAGCCCAUACACACUUAUUUAUUUAGUUUUUUGUGGGCGGGGGGGGGUGCCAAAAUUGUUGCUACAUACCCCUCUGACACUGGGUAGUUGCGCCCCUGUCGGCACGUCACUGGGAUAAGAAGAGAGAACAAUAACUGAGGAACAUGGUGAUGCACACUAAAAAACCAUCAUGAGUCUGAGAACUUUUGCCCCUAAGACCAAAUAAUAGUCGAGGAAAUAAUAGGCUAAUUUAAUAAGUAGACACAGUGGGCACUGGGCCUAAACUACACCAAUAAAGUACAUUAACAUUUCGUGUCAGCAAAAACAUUUUACAUGUAGGCUUUUUGGACAACGCAUUCAGUAUUUUAAAUAAAUAAAUGUAUUUUACUAUAACAUAUUGCACAAUAACGUCUAUAUUUUAUACAGCACUUCUGAACAAAUGUUGACUAUUUAGUUAGAUAAGAUAGAUUUAGAAAAUAACACGCAGGCUUGUUGGCUCCUUUACUGCACACAUGAGACUACACCAAUUCAAAUCAGAGCGGUGUGGUAGAGCUUUGGCUUCAGUCUUCAUCAGGGCUGCUCUAAGUCUGGACAGUCACCAGAUGGCACUGUGCUGCUGAGUUUGAAGCCCCAAAGCUUCUCUGCUAUUCUGCUUUUUCUGUUCUGAUGCAGAAUAAAUAAAACACUGUAGGCUAGAAGCUCUCUUUGCUGAAGAUAAAGUUCAACCAGUAACCACUAAUUACCUCCACAUGUGUAUCUCAACGCAAGGCAAGGCAGCUUUAUUUGUUUUGCACAUUUCAGCAACAGGGCAAUUCAAAGUGCUUUACAUAAAACAAUAAAGAGCAGUUAAAAACAAUUAAAAAACAAAUUAAAACAUUAAAGUGCAGGUAAAAAUUAUUAAAAAAAAAUAAAAAAGUGACUUGACAGACAUAUUAGUUCUACUUGCUACCUGUUUGAUUGGGAGGAGGAAAAUACAGCCUUCACAAUCUAUUCUCUUUGUUACCUUUAUUUCAACAGGCCUGACUUAUACACACCAUUCAUAAUAGCAUAUCAUUCAGAAACAUUAGAAUACUUUUUAUGUUAACAUCUGGAAAGAAAUACCUAUAGACUUUAUUAAUCUUAGAGCAAGUAGGCAAUGUGCAGAAAUCAUAAUAAAUAAACUAGUGCAGUGCCUGUUGGAAACGCUCCUGUCUGUAUCAGGCCGACUGCUUGGCCUGUCGUAUAGCUGCUGGUAGUUUUCUUUUUCAGAGCCAUUGUACCCCAAAAUUAAUGAUUAUUCCUUGAUUCCGAUUUUACUCACAAAAUAGGUCUAUCCCAUUUAAAAUGUGGAUUCAUCUCAGACAUUUGCCUCAUGGACUCAUGGGGGUGCCCCAUGCGUCACCCAUCUGGCCCGUUAUGAGAGCCAAUCAGCAGAAGACUGCAUUAAUCAACCACCAGAACCUGACCGAGCAUAGAGACGGACUCAGCCGGCAGAGUGUGUGUGUGUGUGUGUGUGUGUGUGUGUGUGUGUGUGUGUGUGUGUGUGUGUGUGUGUGUGUGUGUGUGUGUGUGUACUUGAGAGAGAAGGGGAAGUUUUUCUUUUAACUAGGCUAGAUUUUAGGGUCUUCUUUUUCGUCAACAAUAUUGCAUGUUCAUAUCGCCACAGUCAGCGUUUAAUGUCGGCGCUGCUGUCUCGUCAUCAUUAUCGUUAGGGAUUUACCACUUCAUCAGAGGUAAGAAUAUCCAAACAGGCUUAGUGGCUUAAUGUUAAAGAGCAACAUUUUAAAAUUUGCCUCCCCUUUCGAAUGCAACAUUCAAAUUACUAGACAAAAAAUUAUAUCCUGAGAAAAGUGGGUUUGAGGGGUAUAGCUACAUAGAGUCCCAUUCAUUCUGUCACGAAUCCACUAUGUGGAGAGUGACAAGCGGGGGUUUUCUAGAGUCUCUCUCUCUUUUCCUCUCCCUCUCCUCUCCUCUCCUCUCCUCUCUCUUUUUCUCCUCUCUCUUAGUGCAGUGGGUGUGACAGGCCGCUCCCAGGAUGACGCUCAGCUGCAGGCGAUCUCUAAUCAUCCACCUGUGGCUCAUUAGUGCAGAGUCUUAAACUGUGGCUGCUCUCUGUUCGGAUAGCUAGUCUUGUCACGAAUACUACUCUGUCUGCUGUUGCUGUACCUGCCUGUUGACGCCACUCUCUGCCUGCAAUCAGCAGCCCUGUGUUCACUACCUGCUCUGUCUCCUGGGAGGAUUACUCCACCAGUCCAUUCUGCUAAGAUUCUCAGAUUCAGAAAUAAACUAUUUAAACGUU